UUUAACCUGACGAAAUCACGUUCUUCUGGCUGAGCUGUGGACACACGACGGGGCUUCACUACAUUCCACGAGCAGAGAGCUAUAGGUCAAUGUAAUGUACAUCAGUUACCAUCUGCAGUGCCAUUUCCACUGUAAAGGUUGGGUCGACCAUAGGUGAAGUCGUCAGGUGAGAUUCUCGUUGGAUACCCAGCGUCAUCAUUUUCGACUGAAUUGGCUCAAAAAUCGAUCAAGUAUCUGAGAAGAAACAGGUAAAAUAAGGUAUAAAUUACAACAUAAGUAUUACACAAUGAAUGCAAUAGCGUGCGGGCACAGAGACCAAAGUAUAUCGGCAAUACGCUAUUUUAAAGUUAAGAUA
Long non-coding RNA from Xenia sp. Carnegie-2017, 355 nucleotides. RefSeq lists it as uncharacterized. The record is from RefSeq and is a predicted model, not a curated record. The transcript is spliced from 3 exons. NCBI's taxonomy places the organism in Eukaryota, Metazoa, Cnidaria, Anthozoa, Malacalcyonacea, Xeniidae.